UACGUAGGGGGCAAGCGUUGUCCGGAAUUAUUGGGCGUAAAGAGCGUGUAGGCGGUCCGGUAAGUCAGCUGUGAAAGUCAAGGGCUCAACCCUUGAAUGCCGGUUGAUACUGUCGGGCUAGAGUCCGGAAGAGGCGAGUGGAAUUCCCGGUGUAGCGGUGAAAUGCGCAGAUAUCGGGAGGAACACCAAUGGCGAAGGCAGCUCGCUGGGACGGUACUGACGCUGAGGCGCGAAAGCCAGGGGAGCGAACGGG
This 253-nucleotide ribosomal RNA is filed under the name uncultured bacterium. RNAcentral describes it as "partial 16S ribosomal RNA". It matches the Rfam family "Bacterial small subunit ribosomal RNA", at positions 524 to 776 of the family's 1533-position model. The record is from RNAcentral.